Molecule: non-coding RNA, 148 nt
Filed under: Halobacillus karajensis
Lineage: Bacteria; Bacillati; Bacillota; Bacilli; Caryophanales; Bacillaceae
Description: FMN sequence
Rfam family: FMN riboswitch aptamer (RFN element)
About the family: The RFN element is a highly conserved domain that is found frequently in the 5'-untranslated regions of prokaryotic mRNAs that encode for flavin mononucleotide (FMN) biosynthesis and transport proteins. This element is a metabolite-dependent riboswitch that directly binds FMN in the absence of proteins. In Bacillus subtilis, the riboswitch most likely controls gene expression by causing premature transcription termination within the 5' untranslated region of the ribDEAHT operon and precluding access to the ribosome-binding site of ypaA mRNA.
Source: Rfam by way of RNAcentral
UUCCAUCUUCGGGGCAGGGUGCAAUUCCCGACCGACGGUAAAAAGUAUACCUAUACUUCAAGUCCGUGACCCGCAUGAGUAAGACCAUGCGGUGGACCUGGUGAGAAUCCGGGACCGACAGUUACAGUCUGGAUGGGAGAAGAUGUCA